Molecule: small nucleolar RNA, 84 nt
Filed under: Carlito syrichta (Philippine tarsier)
Lineage: Eukaryota; Metazoa; Chordata; Mammalia; Primates; Tarsiidae
Description: Small nucleolar RNA SNORD74 (ENSTSYG00000020489.2)
Rfam family: Small nucleolar RNA SNORD74
About the family: Z18 also identified as U74 (SNORD74) belongs to the C/D class of snoRNA which contain the C (UGAUGA) and D (CUGA) box motifs.
Source: Rfam by way of RNAcentral
UUAUCCCUGUGGCUUCUGAGGAGGCCUAUUUUGGUUGUGACAUCUGGGAGAGUUGAUGAAUGCCAAAGGCUUUGAUGGGGAAAA